CCGGGACGGAGCGUGCGCAGAAGGUCAGAUACACUGUGCCCUCUUCGGGGUAGAAUCAGCCUAGAACGUUGACAGGAGUGUUAAAGCAAAAUCUGCUGCUUUGCCUGCUUCCGGUAUGACCAAACUUCACACUAGAGUGGCUCUACCGUACCGGUUUGCAUUUCCACCAUCGAUGUCUGAGAGAUUCUGUUACUCCAUAUCCUCACCAGCAUUUGGUGUUGUCAGUGUUCCAGAUUUUGGCCAUUCUAACAGGAGCUCAUAAUAGAGGACUCCCUUCCAAUUCCACCAUAUACACAGCAUCACCUUCUUUGGAUGAAGAUUGGCCUUUGGUGUGGUUGGUGAUGGUUCAUUUCACUUGCCCCACAAUCUCUUCCGUUACACAUUAUUGUACAGUAUCCACUUUUCAUCGCCCACCACAAUUUGUUUUAAAAAUGGAACGUUUUCGUUAUAUUUAAGUAGAGAAUCGCAUGUGGAAAUAUGGUCAAGAAGGUUUUUUUCACUUAACUUACGUGGAACCCAAACAUCAAAGCUAUGAAUAUAACCAAGCUGGUGCAAAUGAUUUUCAAUGCUUGAUUUGGGUAUUUUGAGUAUGUCGACUAUCUCCCAUGUGGUAUAGCCACGUUGAUUGUUCUCAAUUAAUGUCUCAAUUUGAUCGCUAUCAACGUCAACUGGUCUACCCGACGGUGGAGCACCAUACAGUGAGAAAUCUCCAGCAUGAAACUUUGCAAGCCACUUUCAACACGUUCAAUCAGUCACAGCACCUUCUCCAUACACUGCACAAAUCUUUUUUGCAUUUCAGUUGCGUUUUUACCUUUCUUGAAAUAAUAAAGCAUAAUAUGCUGAAAAUGUUGCUAUUUUUCUUCCAACUUCAGUAUUAAAAUGGCUACACAAAAAUUCACCAAUUUUGAUAAGUUUUUUUUUUAAUGCAUGCUGAUAUGCUGUCACAAUACAAUCUAACAAAAUUGUUUCAAAUGAAGUUAAAGACAAGCACUACUAGAGCCAUCAUACAGAAAAAAAUCAGACUCUUUGGCCAACCCGGUAGUUCCCUGUGCUAUACACUAGGUUCUUGUUUAUCUGUUUUAUAUAUAGUAGUGUGUAUCUGUUAAACCCAAACUCCUAAUUUAUCCCUCCCCACUCUUCGCCCUUUGGUAACCAUAAGUUGUUUUCUAUGUCUGUGAGUCU
This is a long non-coding RNA of Physeter macrocephalus (sperm whale), 1182 nucleotides long. RefSeq lists it as uncharacterized. Lineage: Eukaryota; Metazoa; Chordata; Mammalia; Artiodactyla; Physeteridae. The transcript has 3 exons. The record is from RefSeq and is a predicted model, not a curated record.